Molecule: ribosomal RNA, 468 nt
Filed under: uncultured bacterium
Lineage: Bacteria
Description: partial 16S ribosomal RNA
Rfam family: Bacterial small subunit ribosomal RNA
Source: RNAcentral
GACGAACGCUGGCGGCGUGCUUAACACAUGCAAGUCGAACGGAAAGGCCCUGCUUUUGUGGGGUGCUCGAGUGGCGAACGGGUGAGUAACACGUGAGUAACCUGCCCUUGACUUUGGGAUAACUUCAGGAAACUGGGGCUAAUACCCGAUAGGAGCUCCUGCUGCAUGGUGGGGGUUGGAAAGUUUCGGCGGUUGGGGAUGGACUCGCGGCUUAUCAGCUUGUUGGUGGGGUAGUGGCUUACCAAGGCUUUGACGGGUAGCCGGCCUGAGAGGGUGACCGGGCACGUUGGGACUGAGAUACGGCCCAGAGUGCUACGGGAGGCAGCAGUGGGGAAUAUUGCACAAUGGGCGGAAGCCUGAUGCAGCAACGCCGCGUGCGGGAUGACGGCCUUCGGGUUGUAAACCGCUUUCGCCUGUGACGAAGCGUGAGUGACGGUAAUGGGUAAAGAAGCACCGGCUAGCUACGUG